RNAcentral lists this ribosomal RNA (86 nucleotides) under uncultured fungus. RNAcentral describes it as "partial 5.8S ribosomal RNA". It matches the Rfam family "5.8S ribosomal RNA", at positions 72 to 154 of the family's 154-position model. From Rfam's summary of the family: 5.8S ribosomal RNA (5.8S rRNA) is a component of the large subunit of the eukaryotic ribosome. It is transcribed by RNA polymerase I as part of the 45S precursor that also contains 18S and 28S rRNA. The record is from RNAcentral. Lineage: Eukaryota; Fungi.
AUGCAGAAUUCAGUGAAUCAUCGAAUCUUUGAACGCACCUUGCGCCCUCUGGCUAUUCCGGAGGGCAUGCCUGUUUGAGUAUCGUG